Molecule: ribosomal RNA, 371 nt
Filed under: Ehrlichia sp.
Lineage: Bacteria; Pseudomonadati; Pseudomonadota; Alphaproteobacteria; Rickettsiales; Anaplasmataceae
Description: bacterial SSU rRNA
Rfam family: Bacterial small subunit ribosomal RNA
Source: RNAcentral
UAGCCUCUGGCUAUAGGAAAUUGUUAGUGGCAGACGGGUGAGUAAUGCGUAGGAAUCUACCUAGUAGUACGGAAUAGCCAUUAGAAAUGGUGGGUAAUACUGUAUAAUCCCCGAGGGGGAAAGAUUUAUCGCUAUUAGAUGAGCCUACGUUAGAUUAGCUAGUUGGUGAGGUAAUGGCUUACCAAGGCUAUGAUCUAUAGCUGGUCUGAGAGGACGAUCAGCCACACUGGAACUGAGAUACGGUCCAGACUCCUACGGGAGGCAGCAGWGGRGARUAUUGGACAAUGGGCGAAAGCCUGAUCCAGCUAUGCCGCGUGAGUGAAGAAGGCCUUCGGGUUGUAAAACUCUUUCAAUAGGGAAGAUAAUGACGG